RNAcentral lists this ribosomal RNA (86 nucleotides) under Pantoea sp. ICBG 1758. Lineage: Bacteria; Pseudomonadati; Pseudomonadota; Gammaproteobacteria; Enterobacterales; Erwiniaceae. The record is from RNAcentral.
CCUGGCGGCCACAGCGCGGCGGUCCCACCUGACCCCAUGCCGAACUCAGAAGUGAAACGCCGUAGCGCCGAUGGUAGUGUGGGGUC